RNAcentral lists this ribosomal RNA (253 nucleotides) under uncultured bacterium. Its description in RNAcentral is "partial 16S ribosomal RNA". It matches the Rfam family "Bacterial small subunit ribosomal RNA", at positions 524 to 776 of the family's 1533-position model. The record is from RNAcentral.
UACGUAGGUGGCAAGCGUUGUCCGGAUUUACUGGGCGUAAAGAGGGUGUAGGCGGUUUUUUAAGUUGCCUGUGAAAGCCUGGGGCUCAACCCCAGAACUGCAGGCAAUACUGAAUGGCUAGAGAACAGGAGAGGGAAGGGGAAUUCCCGGUGUAGCGGUGAAAUGCACAGAUAUCGGGAGGAACACCAGUGGCGAAAGCGCCUUCCUGGACUGUUUCUGACGCUGGAGCCCGAAAGCUGGGGGAGCAAACAGG